CCGGCAUGAUGGCGUGAAUGGACACCCGGCAAGUAAGUGGAGGGAUGAAUGUCUGUGUGAGUGUAUGUUUAAUUAGCAGGUUGGGCUCCAGUUGUGCACCCUUGGUUACCCUGUCCAACAGAGAAAGGAGGAGGAAAAGUGUCGCGGUUUAGUGGGGAAUUAGCGACGCUGGCGGGGAGGGAAAUGUUUGGCGCGUGUGUAGAUCAGUAUUUGAUCUUGUUUACAAGAACAUUUCUUUAUUUUAUUUUAUUUCUUUCUUUCUUUUUUGUCAUAGUGCACUAAUUUGAAAAAAAAAAAAAGCUUUCUAUCUACACCCAGAUGUCCCACCAACAGUGAUUUGAGUUCUCCCUCGAGCUAUUACAGUGACUUAAACACUCCCACCUGUCCUCAUUGCUCAUUUCUUCUGCAUCUGAAUGAGUAAGAAAAACACUUGACUGCCCAUUCUCCUUAACUGAGAGUAAUAUAGCUCUUGUGUUUGCCUAGUUCAUGGUUUUGCAAUGAAUGACAAAAUUAUCCAGACAAAGCACAUAACUCUGGGUUUCCCCAUCAGGCGCUCAUUAUGCUCAACACCUUUCCUACAUAGAAGAAGAAGAUCCAAUCCAGAUCCGGGCAGUGUCUUAUUUUAUGACUGCUUUUAGGAGUGUCACAUUACUGUUUCCUUUAGCCUUAAUGUGACACCAACAAGAGGGAACUGUUGAUUUGUUGGCCCAAAUUGAUGCCAUUCUACUCCUACUUUAGUGCUUUAUUUCUAAUCAGCCACACUCUCUCUCUUUUACUUUCAUUCCUCAUGUUAUACCUUUUAAUCUUUCUGGCCGUUGGAAGAAAGCCAGAGCCAUUAGCCUGCUGUCUGUUUGAGGAGCGGCCUCUGGCAGACAGCGGGUCUAUCCUGCUGGCUUAUGGUAAAUGAACAGCAAACUUGGUCACGCAGUGGACAGUAUGGGGGACCUUGAGCGAUGAAAGGUGAAUAGGUUGUGCAAGGGCCUGUGCACUUGGAGACAGUAUGUGGAAGUUGCAUAGUUCAUGUUUUUAUAGGUUUUCUUUGAGGUGCCAGAGGAGCUGUUAGCUGUAUCCGCCUAGACCUUGACUGCCUAUACACUGUCCAUCUCACUGUGCUCUUAUAGCAUAGACUUAAAUGCACUGACUGACUUCACACAUUUUAUAAACAUGAUCAUAUUUUACUUUGGCUUUAAAUGAACUUCAUAUUUGUUUGCUUUCUUACUUUUUUCAAACCUUUUGUGUUGUUGUGCCGUUUGUUAUGGCCUUUGAGCCACAUUAUGACAGUGAAGCACAAAGAGAGUGCUCCUGUGCAUCUGACUUUAGUGUUUAUUUUUGGCCCUAGGGUUUCUGCAGCAGGAUUGGGAUGGAGUCACCCUUCACUGCAUGACCAAGAACGGGACAAAAAGUCAACAGGAGCUGAUGGAUGGACAGAAAUUUCUCCUCCGUUGGAUGAAUACAGGUUUGUCUUAUCUUAUCUCAUCUAAAUGUGAUGUUGAUGCUGCCUUUAACUCUCACACCUGAUCAAUGAAACAAUUAUAGGCCAGAUUAACUCACACUGAUGAGCGAUCUUUGAUUUUGAUUUGUGGAGUUUUCAAAGAAAAGGAGCCUCCCAGGUUAGGGGAAUAAUUGCUAAAACAGCUGUCAAUAUCGGAUAAAGCUUUGAUUGCUAAUAAGAGAAACACCUGACAACCCAUUUUGUGAUUAAACAGUCGAUAUUAUUCCUUACGAGCGAACAUCCCCAGCUUUCUUUCAUUAAUAUUCGUGCGCCCACUUUCUGACUUCAGCAUGAAUGUGUCAUUCAUUGUGAGCUGUGCCUCAUGCCCUUUCUAAUCAUAGAGAGGUGACUGCAUCCUUGUCCUUCUAUUUCAGCAUAAACAGCCACAUUUACAUCCAUCCCACCCACAUGCUGCUGUAACUCUCAGGAGAUUUCAGACUUCAUGUAUAAUACCUUCUCGUAGACUGUAUCUUAAAGUUAAUAGAGGGCUCAGAGGCCAAACUGUGAAAUGUAAAUAUACGUCAAUUAUUUUUUCUCAAACACAGUUUCUGUCAUUCUAGUUCAUUCUCCAUAUGUUGAUUAACGUCAGUGCUAACUUUCCUGUGGAAUAAGUUGUAAUUAUUUGUUUAAUUUUCUAAAAAUAAAAAGACUUGCAACAUCAUGAGUGACUGCUCUGUUGACAGAUGAGCACACAAUGGGCAGAAAUAAAGCAGUGUGUCCAUCCUCUAUACAAUCAAUGCGCCUCAGUGUGCUGCCUGACUGCAAAUAGGCUGGCGCUCACAUAUAUUUUGUUUCAUGGCGGAUGUGGUCAUCCAAGCAUAAAUCAGGGCAAACAGAAGUUACUCCUCCUAAUGGUCCUUGGCUGGGAGACAGAGGCAGAGCCUUUUAUGACACGGCUUGAAUGCAAUGAUGUUUAAACACAUCAUUUUCUUUGUGGCUGUGCCUCUAAUUUGUUUCAGUGACUUGUUCGACUUUUCACUGCAGCUCGGGACUAGAUGGCACUCAGUAAAUCAUACUGUGUUGUACUUCGCUGCUAUCCAGCUGUCAAUGUGCCAGUUCCACAAGUCAGAUUUUCUUCCAUGCCCCAUUAACAACCUAUUUUACAUCCACAGAUGCACAGCUCUGUGGCUGCGCCUGAAAUGAAACAUCAAAUUCAGCCUUUCUUGAUGUUAUUCUCUCAUCUGCUGAAUGCAAGUGUGUGAAAACAGGUGUAUUGAUUCAAAUGAGGGAAAAAAAGAAAUAGGACACCAAGCUGUGCUUUAUAAUUUACUAACAUUACAAAGAUUAGUAGAAAAAAAUAAGAUGUCCUGCUGUCACCUACAUGAAUAGAGAAAAUGACAAAAAUGUUUAAUUUAAAAUUGCUUCCCUCAGUCAAUGAAUACAUUAUCCUGCUCUCAUGGAGCUGUAGCAACAUGUGAUAAAAACAAGAAAUAAUAGACGUUUAAAACAAUCCCUUAUAUCAGUAGAGUUUAAAAGACUCUCCUCAAAGCAGACAAACUACUAAACUUAGACUUAACUUGUCCAUGCAUUUAAAAGGAUCAAUCAAUUAAUAUCAACUCUAACAUAAUUUGCAUGUUAUAACUGAAAAUUUCUUAAAAUGUCAUAGUUAGAAGUUUCAAAUAUCCAAAAACUUCCAAAAGCUUCUGAUGAGAUUUGCAGCUUUGAAGGUUUAACAACAUGAAUAAUAACGAAGAUCAUUUUAGGGAAUAAUGAUAUUAUGUAAGAUAAUGCUAGUUGUUAUAAUGGCAUUGAACUCUAACUGGUGGAAAAUGCCAACACAAAAGGUUCUGGUCUCACCCUGAAGGAGAUAUACUAUAUUCCAUUCAGUAUUUACUUAAUGUUCACCCCUAAAGCUUCUUGUACAUUAUAUCUCCAAUACAAUAUUAAACAGUGUCAGAAGGGAGCAACUUCUCUCUCUAUAUAUGAAUACUGACUGAGUGUCUAUCACAGAGGGCUAACAACAACAACUAUAUAAUCACUCUCUGUUGGCCCACUUUCUAUCAAUAAUGGAUCACAAAUCACCCGACACGUUCAAUUCUUGGAAUUCUUCACCAUGAGCAAUAUGGUUGUGUGAGUAUGGGCCACCCUUCAAUAAUGUUUAUAUAUAUAUUCUUGACAAAAUGACAUGGUUUGAUUGCUGAGUACAUGAAAGGUGGGUGGUGAAAAUGUCAACAUCAUAUUCUCAUAUGUCCCCUCACCGUCCUCAUGAGGAGUUGCAUCAUUUUUUUUUACCUUUAACCACUGUGUUUGAUGGUUAUACAGAAAUUGAAUUCCUCUGUUACUGAGAAUGUGAUUUAUAUGUGUUACAGGAUGGACAUCCCUCUCUUGCUGCAGUGGACCAUUUCUUCUCCUGCAUACUGAACUGGUGACCUCUCUUGAAUCUUUGGAAAGCAGGUAAUAGUCAAAAGAUUUAAAAGAGAGACUUAAAAAAUUGAAUAUCAUGACAAUGUUCAAUAUUCUCCAAAAGUUAUUGAAGAAAGUAAUGUAUCAAAUCAUAUACUAAUGUAUUAUUUGAUUAAUAUAAUGAAAAUACAUGCCAUUUUUAAAAUUAUAAAUCAAACGCUAUAUUAGAGUUUAUAAAUGACUGUGAAAGCAGUUUGACUUGUGGUGAAAUCCUUUCUGCUCCAUGGCAAUAUUAGCACCAAUAUAAAGAGAUAUUAUCCUGAACACUGACUUUUAUUAGAAAACAUGAAGACCAAAAGAAACCACAAAAAGGAAACUUUCAUUCAUAAAUGAAGAAAAAAUACAGACUGACAAGCCAGUUCAUUUUUCAACAAGAAGCAGUUUUUGUUCACUGAAUACAUCAUAGCGUUGCAACCUUACUUCAACGAAUCACAUAACAUGUUUCAGUCUAAAAACACCAUAUCAAGAAGCAAACAAUUAUUGAAUAUACUUGAAACAUUGCAUUCAUAAUCGUUUUUUGCGCUUUAUUAUGGAAAACAUGAGAAACAGAAAUCGGUUUUUUUUUCACACAAAUUUGGGUUUUUAAAAUUGCAGAGCCGUACACAAAUACUAACAUGAGCAGGAAGUUAAAAUUUCAGAAUGGUGCAUCAUGAAUAAGCAGCUCCCUGUCCUUAAAAAAUUCUUCAGUACAGUGAUGUUGAUAGCUUUUAAGGAAGUCUUGGAAACCCACAGGUAGUGAUUUUAGUGUGUCCUUUUGAAAACUUUUCAACAAUUGUGUUGAAAAUUUAAGUUACUUCUGAAGAAGUGCGUGAUUAUGUGUUUAAAAGGUGUGACAAUUUACAAGGAUAAUUCACCUUUAUGAUACAGAAAUGUCUCUCUUUUUUUGGCAGUUUUAAAAUGUUAUAAGUGUUUACAAGGGAACCCACUAGAAAAGAGAAAUGUACAGAGGUCAUCUGAGCAUAAGAUAAAUGCCAUGCAGUUAUAUGUGCUAAUUUUAAAGCCAAUUUAGAUAUGAAUAUGGAUGAAGAAUGCCAGAGAAUCUGUGGAAAAAAUACCAUUGUCACCUAUAAAAUGUGUCCUUCAUAGCCAAUUUUGUAACUGGUAAUUCUGAAACAAUAACAACAUGCUGAAGAUGAUUUUAAAUAAGAAGGAAACUGUCCAGCCUAUUCACUGAAACUAAAGACUGCCAGGGGUGACACUGAGGUGCACCUCCAUUGACAACAUUAAUAGUAGCAGUCCUGCUCCGCUGAUGGUUCAUAGUGUAUCAUUCUGACUGGGAAAGACAAGGUGGGUGUCAAAUUUAAAGAGUCAUUUCAAAAUUAUAUGUGUAAAAGAAGCAGGACAUGUAGCUAGCAACAUCACUGCAAGUGACACUUCAUAUCAAUAACAGCUGCAAACUGCACUCUUAGUUAUUUGGAGGUACCCAGUAUAAGUCCAACACAGCGGACUUUUGAUAACAGUAGCAGGGACAAAGUUCUCUUUACCAAUCAGUCAGCGUCAGCACAACCAGACACUAGUGCUUGAUGCAGUGGCUGAGAUGACAGGAGAGAGGCCUGAUAGAUGAAGUCUUUAUCUUCUGUGUUACUCAUGGACAUGCCAGAAGAGGAGUAAACUGGUCUAAAAGGGUGACAGGACACUAUGAGCUCUGCUAAGCUGACUCGCAGUAUUGACCUAUAGUCACAGUAAAUGCUCCAAAUAUACAUAUGAGUCAUAUUAACUGAUAAGUUACCAUAACAAAAUGUAUAGUUAGUUUCUCUUUUCAUGUGGAUUCUUGUGUUUCUGAACACUUAAUUCUUAUGAAAAUGUUUCCAUGUUAUAAGUUCAAGUACAGGGAUUAUCCUAUCUGGAUUCUCAUAUUGUUCCAGACACUUCAUCCUUCCUACAAAUUGCUUUUGGUGCCAAAACUCUAGUGUUCCUCAUGAGUUCAAGAUGGACUGUCAUGUGCCUCCUAACAUGUUGUUGAUGUUUAAAAGUCUUCUCGCAAAAACUACAACUGAAUGGUUUCUCCUCUGUAUGGACUGUCAUGUGUUUCUUAACAUGUUGUUGCUGACUAAAACUCUUCCCGCAAACAUCACAACUGAACGGUUUCUCCCCUGUGUGGACGGUCAUGUGUUUCUUAACAUGUUGUUGUUGUGUAAAACCCUUCCCGCACACACCACAUCUAUAGGGUUUCUCACCAGUAUGGGAUCUCAUGUGUACUGUAAUUCCUUGAUGGUGAGUGAAUGACUUCCCACAAAGUUUACAGCUAUAGGGUCUCUCUCCUGAAUGGGAUUUCAUGUGGUCUCUGGCGUGCUGCCGAUGUUUAUAGGCCCUCCCACAAACAUCACAACUGAAGGGUUUCUCUCCCGUAUGGACUGUCAUGUGUUUCUGAACAU
Xyrichtys novacula (pearly razorfish) is the source of this 6270-nucleotide non-coding RNA. Lineage: Eukaryota; Metazoa; Chordata; Actinopteri; Labriformes; Labridae. The record is from the annotation of a GenBank genome assembly.